GCACUGGGUGGCUCAGUUGGUAGAGCAUUUGCAUCAUGUGCAGAACCUCUGCUCCUCACCGUGGGUUUAAUUUUCAGCCUCGGGCA
Non-coding RNA from Characodon lateralis, 86 nucleotides. Lineage: Eukaryota; Metazoa; Chordata; Actinopteri; Cyprinodontiformes; Goodeidae. The record is from the annotation of a GenBank genome assembly.